Calliphora vicina (urban bluebottle blowfly) is the source of this 423-nucleotide long non-coding RNA. RefSeq lists it as uncharacterized. The record is from RefSeq and is a predicted model, not a curated record. The transcript is spliced from 4 exons. Lineage: Eukaryota; Metazoa; Arthropoda; Insecta; Diptera; Calliphoridae.
CAUACUACACAGCUGUAUGAAUGAAUGGAACGGGAAGAGGCAAAUGUGAAAAAUACUACGCGUGGGUGAAGAAGAAGCACCCAAACAAAAAAAAUAUGAAUGAAAAUAAAAAGGUUCUGCUGGAGAUUGAAGGCCAUUUAUGGAGAUUUUGAAUAAGGGACAAUGUUGGCUGCCUUGGACCAGAAGAAUUUCAAUGGCCGCUUCUGAAGAUGGUGAAUCUGAGCAGAUUUAACCGGUACUGUUCCAGAUAAGCUGGUGGACUAUCGAUUAAGGUGGUUCCGGAAAUGGAAGGUAAGUGUAAUGAAUUAUCAUGGAAUAAAAAAGUGUUCUCUUUUUUUUUUAUAAAAAAGUGCGAAAAAUAAAAAUGUGGUUCGGGUUUAUAUAAAAAAAAUUUGGUUACAGUGUGUGCGUAAAGUGAGUAAU